RNAcentral lists this unclassified non-coding RNA (489 nucleotides) under Hevea brasiliensis (rubber tree). The record is from RNAcentral. Lineage: Eukaryota; Viridiplantae; Streptophyta; Magnoliopsida; Malpighiales; Euphorbiaceae.
UCUCUCUUUCUCUCUCUCUCCCUCACCUUCGCAGCAACCCAUGGUCGACAACCACCCCAGAUGGCCAUAGCUCCUCCAGGCGACCCUCAAAGGCUAAAAAACAGUAGCCAAUGGCAAGAAAUCCGGCACCCACGUGAAGAGAGAGAAAAUCGCCAUCUCCACUUUCAAGCUUCAUUUCAGGCAUUUUUGACCUCCAAUCGAAGUGAUUCUAGCAGCAUCAGAGUGAGAACUUUCAAAUGGGACCAACCUAGCCGAUUCCAUGGAGUUUCUGGUGAGGCGGAGGAGAGAGAAGGCAACAGUGUUUUGGCUUUUUUUUCCCAAUGAUCCGGUCGUCAAAUUGGCGAUCCGAGACCGAUGAUGAACUCAGAACGACGAGAUUUACUUGUUUUCUUAAAGGGUAACUUUUUUUGUUUAAAUACUCAAAUUCGAGACCUUGAAGAAAAAUUAUCUUAUAAUUAGUAUUGAAAUUCAAUUUUGUCACGCUUAGAA